GAUGAACGCUAGCGGCAGGCUUAACACAUGCAAGUCGUACGAGAAAGUCGGCUUCGGCUGAUGAGUAAAGUGGCGCACGGGUGAGUAACGCGUGGAUAAUCUGCCCUUUAGUUGGGAAUAACGUACCGAAAGGUGCGCUAAUACCGAAUAAUGCUGAGUGACAUCAGUUAUUUAGCCAAAGAAGGCCUCUGCUUGCAAGCUUUCGCUGAAGGAUGAGUCCGCGUACCAUUAGCUAGUUGGUAGGGUAAUGGCCUACCAAGGCGACGAUGGUUAGCUGGUCUGAGAGGAUGAUCCCCCACACUGGUACUGAGACACGGACCAGACUCCUACGGGAGGCAGCAGUGAGGAAUAUUGGUCAAUGGGCGGAAGCCUGAACCAGCCAUGCCGCGUGCAGGAUGACGGCCCUACGGGUUGUAAACUGCUUUUCCCCGGGGCGAAUAACCCCCUCGCGAGGGGGAUGGCCGGUACCGGGGAAUAAGGAUCGGCUAACUCCGUGCCAGCACG
Molecule: ribosomal RNA, 504 nt
Filed under: uncultured bacterium
Lineage: Bacteria
Description: bacterial SSU rRNA
Rfam family: Bacterial small subunit ribosomal RNA
Source: RNAcentral